This 856-nucleotide ribosomal RNA is filed under the name Corynebacterium sp. RNAcentral describes it as "bacterial SSU rRNA". It matches the Rfam family "Bacterial small subunit ribosomal RNA", at positions 59 to 918 of the family's 1533-position model. The record is from RNAcentral. Lineage: Bacteria; Bacillati; Actinomycetota; Actinomycetes; Mycobacteriales; Corynebacteriaceae.
CAGUCGAACGGAAGGCCCCUUCGGGGGUACUCGAGUGGCGAACGGGUGAGUAACACGUGGGUGACCUGCCCUGCACUUCGGGAUAAGCCUGGGAAACUGGGUCUAAUACCGGAUAGGACCGCAUCGUGAGGAUGUGGUGGAAAGUUUUUUCGGUGCAGGAUGGGCCCGCGGCCUAUCAGCUUGUUGGUGGGGUAAUGGCCUACCAAGGCGGCGACGGGUAGCCGGCCUGAGAGGGUGGACGGCCACAUUGGGACUGAGACACGGCCCAGACUCCUACGGGAGGCAGCAGUGGGGAAUAUUGCACAAUGGGCGCAAGCCUGAUGCAGCGACGCCGCGUGGGGGAUGAAGGCCUUCGGGUUGUAAACUCCUUUCAUCAUCGACGAAGGGCUCACUUGUUGUGGGUUUGACGGUAGGUGGAGAAGAAGCACCGGCUAACUACGUGCCAGCAGCCGCGGUAAUACGUAGGGUGCGAGCGUUGUCCGGAAUUACUGGGCGUAAAGAGCUCGUAGGUGGUUUGUCGCGUCGUCUGUGAAAUUCCGGGGCUUAACUCCGGGCGUGCAGGCGAUACGGGCAUAACUUGAGUGCUGUAGGGGAGACUGGAAUUCCUGGUGUAGCGGUGAAAUGCGCAGAUAUCAGGAGGAACACCGAUGGCGAAGGCAGGUCUCUGGGCAGUAACUGACGCUGAGGAGCGAAAGCAUGGGGAGCAAACAGGAUUAGAUACCCUGGUAGUCCAUGCCGUAAACGGUGGGCGCUAGGUGUAGGGGUCUUCCACGACUUCUGUGCCGUAGCUAACGCAUUAAGCGCCCCGCCUGGGGGAGUACGGCCGCAACGCUAAAACUCAAAGGAAUUGACGGGG